UAUCCCGAGUUCCAGAAGUGGACUUGAGCACUUCAUGAAGCCCUUGAAAUUGAUGGCCCCGGUUUGCCUUCCCAGGACUCCGUGCCCGGGACNNNNNNNNNNNNNNNNNNACACGGACCAGCAGGCCACUCCUCCCAGCACCUCGUCUCCAUGUCAACGGGUAACCUUCCUGCUGGGGACGUCGGGCACCACGCCAAGCUGGUGAAGACCACCUUUGAGGCCGGAUGGACAUAUUGAUGCCCAUAAAAUCCCACUGCCAAGGUGGGCCACUGGUGUCCAAAUAGGGCCUGCCCCAGAGAAAGCUAAGAAUCUAAUGAGCUGAGAUCGCUUGGUCCGACACGCUCAAACCGCUAGUGCCUUAAAGGAGGGGUAGUUCUGAAACAUUCAGCACAUGCCAGGCACUGGGCCGGUCAGACCUUCUGUUUACAGACUGACUCUUUAAGGAUGCUGUGAAAAUCAUUCCUCCACAAUGAGAUGCCACUUCCCACCCAUUAGGAUAGAAAUUAUUUUUUAAAAAAGAAAAGAAAAAACAGAAUAAGUAUUGGUGAGGAAUAGUAAAGUUAGAACACGUGUGCACUGUUGGUAGGAAAGUAAAAAUGAAACAACCACUACGGAAAACAUUAGGAUAGUUUUUAAAAAAUAAAACAUAGAAUGACUAUGUGCUGUGCUUAGUUGCUCAGUCGUGUCUGACUCUCUGCGACCCCAUGGACCGUAGCCCACCAGGCUCCUCUGUCCGUGGGAUUUCNNNNNNNNNNNNNNNNNNNNNNGUUGCCAUUUCCUUCUCCAGGGGAUCUUCCCGACCCAAGGAUCAAACCCGCGCCUCCUGCACUGGUAGGCAGAUUCUUUACCACUGAGCCACCAGGGAAGUCCCACGUGUCACACAGUGUGGCAAAAAUAUUUUUUUUUAAAGAGAAAAGAAAUUUCAAAAACAAGUGGUUAAAAUGGUAAAAUUUGUGUUCUGUAUAUUUUACUGUGGUACAAUUAAAAAAAAAAAAAAUCAACCUCUUUCCUGCCAAUCCUGAAGCCCAUGCUGACCCAUCCAUGCAUCCCGCAAAGUAACCUUCUGGGGCUCAAACCCCCACCCACAGCUUCGCCCUGUCCCUGGCCUGCUUCACGCGGGCCUGGGAACCCUCGGCUCCCAGCCUGGGGCUGCUGCGUCUUCUCCCCAGUGUGAACCUGUGCUUCCACCACUGACCUCGAGUGCCUUGGCCUUCCGCCUUUCUGUGGGCUGUGCUUGUGCUGGAGCUCCUGCAGCCCCUCUCCAAGAAAACAAACCAAGAAUAAACCUUAUACUCCCCCAAGAGGGAUAAGGGAACAAAAGAAACAUCAAAAAUCAACUUCCAUCUUCAUCUUUAGAAACACUCUACUAUCCAACCAGUCCAUCCUGAAGGAGAUCAGCCCUGGGAGUUCUUUGGAAG
Molecule: long non-coding RNA, 1418 nt
Filed under: Capra hircus (goat)
Lineage: Eukaryota; Metazoa; Chordata; Mammalia; Artiodactyla; Bovidae
Description: lncRNA (ENSCHIG00010004550.1)
Source: RNAcentral